CUGCGCGGUCGGGCAACCGCUGGAUGUGCUCGUUUUUGCGAGAGCGUCGAGAGGAAAGUCCGGUCUUCCCAGGGCAGCAUGCCGGCUAACGGCCGGGGAUGUGCGCUCAAAGCGCACGUUACGGAAAGUGCCACAGAAAAUAUACCGCCACGCGGUUCUGCAAGGAACGGCGGGGUAAGGGUGAAAAGGUGCGGUAAGAGCGCACCGCGGCACGAGCAAUCGCCGCCGGCAGGGAAAACCCCAUGCGAAGCAAGACCAAAUAGGGGAGGAGGAGUGGCCCGCUCCGUUACCACUUCCGGGUAGGUCGCUUGAGCCGUUCAGUAAUGGAUGGCCUAGAGGAAUGGUUGCCGCCUGUAACAGCGUAGCUUCGUGGUUACAGGUACAGAAACCGGCUUACAGAUCGCGCAGGUUC
Molecule: RNase P RNA, 412 nt
Filed under: Acidobacteriaceae bacterium
Lineage: Bacteria; Pseudomonadati; Acidobacteriota; Terriglobia; Terriglobales; Acidobacteriaceae
Description: RNase P RNA component class A
Rfam family: Bacterial RNase P class A
About the family: Ribonuclease P (RNase P) is a ubiquitous endoribonuclease, found in archaea, bacteria and eukarya as well as chloroplasts and mitochondria. Its best characterised activity is the generation of mature 5'-ends of tRNAs by cleaving the 5'-leader elements of precursor-tRNAs.
Source: RNAcentral